GGGCGUAUGGUCUAGAGGUAUGAUACCUGCUUUGGGAAUGAAGAGUUUCGACAUGUCUCAUUGCAGGGGGUCUUCGGUUCGAAUCCGGAUUCGCCCC
Molecule: non-coding RNA, 97 nt
Organism: Gymnopus androsaceus JB14
Lineage: Eukaryota; Fungi; Basidiomycota; Agaricomycetes; Agaricales; Omphalotaceae
Source: the annotation of a GenBank genome assembly